AAUGACGAAUACCCAGCAUUUGCUUCAACUUGGAUAGAACUGGAGUGUAUUAUGCUGAGUGUCAUACUGAUUUUUAAAUGUAAAACCAAUUCAAUGCCCAUGAUCGAUACUAUUGAAACUUAACUUGGGAGGUCUUCAUAGCUCCGUAGCCCCAAGGCCAUAAAUCGGCUACAAAGGUUCAGUUUCACCACAGAGCUUGCUGAUUAUGAAUUAAAAUAUCAGAGACAACAGAUAGAAAAGGUGAUAAAUGCAGCCCAUAUGGUGCUGUAAGAGAUAUUAGGAAAACCAAGAGAAAAUACAAAGAACCAUGAAGUAAAACUUCACACCAUUACUAUAUACUGGAAACUGAUGUCUUGUUAAAGCUCCAGUGUGUUUUAUUUUCACAGGGCAUAGUAAAAAUAGAAAAAUCAUAAGACCAGAACAAGAAAAAUAAAUGGAGGCUACUCUUGGGAUUGGAGACUGGGGAUUACCAAAUGUUAACAACCUAGGUUUUAUUUUUUAUUUGUUUCGUUUUGUUUUAAAAUCAGUUAACAACCUUUAAUAAAAGGGGCUGCCAAACUAUCUCUGGAGAAAUCCCUAGGUCAGUAGAGGAGAACUCUCCUCCUCUUCAGCUUCUUGACAAACAGAAAAGAAAAGCAAAUAUGAUAGCAUUGCUAAGCAAAUCUACUGACAUUGGAAUCAUGCUGCAACAAUCAUAUCCCAAAUAUCUGAAAGACUAUUUUCAUUGCAAAGGACCCUGAAAGUUGCUUACAAUAUAGGCAUAAGUAGGUUUUUCCACAGCACAAGCUUCCCCCUCCUUUUGGCCUUAAAAGAGUUUUGGAGGCUGCCAUCGUUCAUCUGGACCAUGCAACACGUGGGCAUUACAACUCACUAAUUUAUCCCAAGGACUUGAAAAUGGGAAGCCAUGAGUCUUGUGGCCCUCUCUCUGGUGAAAAUGAUGCCCAUUUCUGAUUCUUUAGCUAAAUACCAACAGAUAAUGCCUGAAGGAUCCAAGAAAACACAGAAGCCCAGCAAAGGACCCUCUGUACUUUGUAUAUACCACGAUGGAAACUUUAUUUUUAGCAGUUUCUGGUUUAAGCCUGGGGGCAGAGGUGCAGGGGCAAGUCAUUUAACUGAACUUAUGCAAACUCUCCUUGGCUGCAAAUGAGGAUAACCCUGCCCUGACUGCCUUGGAGCAUUAGUAAGCAUAAUGCAGACAAGAUGUUCUUUGUACUUGCUCAGGAGUAUGGACCACUCUCUACAUCCUUCCUUCCUGCUAGACACACAUGGCCCUGGGGGAGGAACUAGUAUCCCAGAAAAAUUGUGUAUUUGUGAAAAUUUUCUUACGUCAUGAAGCUUCUAAAAUAUGAAUUUCCAUAGUAGAAAAAUAAUCAUGGAGUUAACCUGAAUCAAAGACCUAAUACAGGACAGCCUGGGUGGCUCAGUGGUUUAGAGCUGCCUUCAGCCCAGGGCAUGAUCCUGGAGACCCGGGAUGGAGGCCCAUGUCGGGCUCCC
Canis lupus familiaris (dog) is the source of this 1494-nucleotide long non-coding RNA. RefSeq lists it as uncharacterized. The transcript is spliced from 3 exons. The record is from RefSeq and is a predicted model, not a curated record. NCBI's taxonomy places the organism in Eukaryota, Metazoa, Chordata, Mammalia, Carnivora, Canidae.